RNAcentral lists this long non-coding RNA (3803 nucleotides) under Lathyrus oleraceus (garden pea). Its description in RNAcentral is "Pisum sativum (pea) long non-coding RNA (PSAT_LNC039662)". Lineage: Eukaryota; Viridiplantae; Streptophyta; Magnoliopsida; Fabales; Fabaceae. The record is from RNAcentral.
AAUUUCAAAUUUCAUAUUUUGCAUACAAUUCCAUACAAGAUUUACACCGUUUCAAUUCAACUAUGAAUCAUAAUACAUCAUUACAAUUACAAUUCCAAAUUUCUAACUACGUCUAAUUACAACCAUAAACCCAACUUUACAUUCAACAAUAAAUUCCAAACAUCCACGAGCAAAAGGUGCAUCUCCAAACUUGAUCACAAUCCAAGCUCCUUAACCAAAGCCUUGCACAAAAUCAGAGAAAAGCCAAUUACAGUUCAAACAACAAAGUGACAUCACCAAGGCAUAAUAGAGUUCAAUGAUAAUGGCACUCAUUCCUUUUGACAGCAGCCUUUCACAAACUCAUAGACAAAGUCAAGCAAACGUUCACAAUAACAGCAGUGCACAUAUAUUGCAUAACAUCUCAUAACCAUGUACACCACACAAAACCUAAGCAUUAUAAAUGUCAUUAAUUUUAAUUUUAAACCAAAUUCCAUUCAUUUCCAUAACUAAUUGAAAUUAACAGUUACAACAAUUAACGGUCCAAAACCAUUUAGUCUCAAUUCAACACCACUAACAUAAUCAGUUUCAAUCAAGCUAUAACCACUAAUAUAAUUUUCACCAAACUAAACUCACAAUUGCAUCACAUUUAAAUUCCAGUCACAUAGCAAUAGCAUGACAGUUCAAUUAACAGCCGCAUAUUAGCUUAACAAAAGUUUUCCUAACUAAUUAACUCUCACAAUUUUCACUUAACCGAAAUUUAACAAACAUUAACAGUCAUAACAGAAUUCAAAACAACCUACUAACUGAUAGCAGACCUAACUCGAGUAAGAAAUCUAACAGAAACUUAACUCCAUCCUAGCAGAAAUUCAGUAAUCACCAAAUAGUUCGCUAAUAGCCGUCCACAAUAAAAGCAUAACAUGGUUUCAUUCAAGUCAUAACAGCUUAGCAUUAACAUUAACAGAAGCAGACUAUUAGACUUCAAAACUCCUCUUCCCAACAUAUAACAGAACUGAACUUUCACUCUUCACAACUAACAGAACCAUCAUUCUCUCGUGACCAAAAUCAACUAACCGAAUUUCACAACAAAUUCUAAACCGUUUCUUAACAACUUUUCCCAACAAACUUCUCAAGUAAAUCACCUGCAAAUCUUCGAACCUUCUAACAUAAAUCACCAUUCUAGCCUCUUCGAAUCCUAUAUCGCGAAUUCGUGGAAUAAACCUUGAAGCAGACAUUCCCAAAAACGAAAUUCUCUUAACCAUCUUCAAAUCAAAGAAAAAGGAGAUAGUUAAAGAGAACUUCACAAAGAAAGAAUAAACAGAAGAUUCGGGGAAGAGAAGAAUCGAAAUUGUAACAAGAAAUUGAAAGGGAAAACUCAUGAUUCAAGAGGCUUCGUCUUCAUCGCAAUCAGGAACCCAACAACGCAUCGAACAAAAGCUUCAUCAUCAACGGCGCGGAAAUGUGAAUUUUGCACGGAGGGAUUCAGGUCGCUCGCGAAAAGGAUUUAGGCACAGACGGUGAGAGUUUUCGUUUUCGACAUCAACGUUUUUUUCUUUUUCUUUCAUGUUAUUACGCGUGUCAUUUGGAUACGAGUUCUUCAGAGCGUUGAGUUUCCUUGGUUCGUGAAGAUCCGAAUUUUGGUUGAGAACUUGGGCUUUUUUGCCCAAAAGGUUCAUGGCCCAGGCGCCAUUUCUAAUACACCUCCCUCAAAUUAUCUUACCCAUGGCCCAUUAAGGAUUAUUCAUGUUAAUCAAUCCCUAAUCCCUUCAUUAAUUAUGUUUAAUUUAUAGUAAUUGCAAUUAAUUUUUUGUGUUUAAUCAUUGCUACUGAUUUUUCUUAUUAGGGUUUAAAUUAGGAUUUUUCUUGAUUUUUUUUUUGUUAAUUAGGGAUUAACAUGGUUUUUAAUGAUUAGGUUAAUUCAUCAUAUUAUUAAUAUAGUUUGAUUAGAAUUUGAUUAGGUUUAUUCAUCAUGUUGAUUUGAUUUUGUUUUUUUCAGAAUUAAUCCAAUUGUAGUUAAUCAUGCUUAGAGUAGUAUAACUUGUCAUUAGGUUUUGGUUAAUUCUUUUUCAUUUUAUUCAUGAUCGACUAAUAUGCUUAAUUGUGUUUUUUUUUAUCAUGAUUCACUUUUUAGUUAAAUUUUUAUUCAAUUCUCCAUUACCUUGUGAUUGCCAUGUCCAUGUUCAUGAGAUUCAAUUGUGAUUUAGGUUGUUAAAUUACCCCUUGAUUAAUUUGAUCCAUAAUUCAUGUUUAUGUUGAUUUUUUAUCAUUAAAUUUAAUAAUCACUUUAAUUGUCAAUUUAAUCGAUUCAUUUGGUUUAUGAUCAUCUUAUGAAAAUUGAAAAUGUCAUUUCAAUUUAUGUGAUGUAUGCCUUGUGUAUGUCCAUGUGAUUAGUCUUUGAUUAUUUGUCCAUGUGAUUAGUCUUUCAUUUUAGCCAUGGUAGGCCAAACUAACCAAAACUUGACUAAUCCAACAUGCCCUAAAUUGCAAUUUUGAUGUUUUCUUGAAUUCCAAGGCACAAUGAUGAUCAUUUGAAGACCAAAUGAUAAAAUCUUGGUAGAAACCAAGCCUUGAUGCCUUGUCGUAUGAUUAUGGGCUAUGUUUAUGGAUGAACCCAUGGUGAUUCAAAGUUCAAAGUUCAAAACUUCCACUUAUAUUGCCAACUAUGAAGUGGAUGGAUGUUUGGGUGGAUAAUGAUUGAAAUUAGCUUGAAUUAGAUGUGAAUGGACUAAUGGAUGAUGAGGUGAUCAAGUGGAAAGGCAAAGCAUAUAACCCAUGGUGAUUCAAAGUUCAAGAAUUCCACUUGUAUUGCCAACUAUGAAGUGGAUGGAUGUUUGGGUGGAUAAUGAUUGAAAUUAGCUUGAAUUGGAUGUGAAUGGACUAAUGGAUGAUGAGGUGAUCAAGUGGAAAGGAAAAGCAUAAAAUCAUAGAGGAACAAUUAGGGUUUCUUGGACCAAAAAGAUCCUCAAAGGCCAAGGUUAUACAAACUAGGGUUUGGGUGCAUGAGGUGUCUUAGUGUAGUUUCACAAGAUUGAUGCAUAAUCAAUGGUUGAAUAUUAGGGUUCCUUAAGGGCAAGGCCAAAAUACAAAGACAAAUGAUGGCUUGUACAAUCCAUAAAGGAUCAAGGGAUUAGAGUUGAAGUCCAUGGAUGAUCAAAUGAAUAAGCAAAGCUUUCAACCAAGUCUCACCCUUCAAUUAGGCUUUUAGAGGUGAGUGGGGUGACUUAAUAGUCCCUUAAGGUCAAAGGAUGCUUGCAAAUAGCAAUUAGGGUUUAUGGUGGAUUGGGCACAUCCCAACAUGAUCAAGAGAUCUUGGUUGUUCUCAAAUAUGAACAUCAUGCAUUGAGUUUAUGCUUUCUUGUUAUGAGUGUAAAUGCAAAUGAGACGAUGAUAUGAUGAAUGUAUGUCAAUGCAUUAGGGUUAUGAAAGGUUGUAUAAUAGGUAUGGUAAAUUUGGAGGUAUGACAGAAGGGAAGAUUAAUCUCUUUACAAAAUUUGAUUCAAGUGCAACAACUCUUCUAAUAUAUUCAUAUUUGUUCAAAAGUUAUAUUUAAUCGCCAAGUGCAUGAGUGAGUUGUUUUGUAAAUAGAAAAUGAUGUGCUUUCUAGUUUUUAUGAUCAUCAAAGUGUUUUGGUGAUUGUUGUAAAAUGUCAUUUGAAUUGGGGUGAUUCAAAAUCCACCAUCAGUUUGGUGUUUGUGAAAUCAAGGAAGUAAUUUACUUCUUUGUUAUUGUUAGAAGAUUGUAGGAGGAGUCUUGGUGUGAGACUUGUAUAAAGAUAUAACAAUCUUAUAAGGUGUGAAGGGACUAGAUGUACACUUAGUUGAUAAGAG